Molecule: ribosomal RNA, 374 nt
Filed under: uncultured organism
Description: partial 16S ribosomal RNA
Rfam family: Bacterial small subunit ribosomal RNA
Source: RNAcentral
GUAGGUGGCAAGCGUUGUCCGGAAUUAUUGGGCGUAAAGCGCGCGCAGGCGGUCCUUUAAGUCUGAUGUGAAAGCCCACGGCUCAACCGUGGAGGGUCAUUGGAAACUGGGGGACUUGAGUACAGAAGAGGAAAGCGGAAUUCCAAGUGUAGCGGUGAAAUGCGUAGAGAUUUGGAGGAACACCAGUGGCGAAGGCGGCUUUCUGGUCUGUAACUGACGCUGAGGCGCGAAAGCGUGGGGAGCAAACAGGGAUUAGAUACCCUGGUAGUCCACGCCGUAGACGAUGAGUGCUAAGUGUUAGGGGGGUUUCCGCCCCCUUAGUGCUGCAGCUAACGCAUUAAGCACUCCGCCUGGGGAGUACGGCCGCAAGGCUG